Non-coding RNA from Osmia lignaria (orchard mason bee), 772 nucleotides. Lineage: Eukaryota; Metazoa; Arthropoda; Insecta; Hymenoptera; Megachilidae. The record is from RefSeq and is a predicted model, not a curated record.
UAUCACAAUUGCAGAAUACUGAUGGUUUUUAUCAAAGAACUAACUUUAGUCAAAAGGUUAACUAAGGGAGUGUAGACCCAGAUAGCACCGUACAUCCCAGGGACGUCCGUUUCAUGUCCAGAUUAUGUCCGAACGUCCAACGUCCAUUUUGAACAUCCUUGGGAUGUCCACAAGACGUAUAUGUAUUUCGUAUGUCCUAGGAACGUCCGUCUUGAAAGUCCUACGGACGUCCGUAAGGCGAACGUUUCGUAUGUCCUAGGAACGUCCGUCUUGAAGGUCCUACGGACAUAGAUGAGACGUAUGUCCAAAAUAGGGUAGAAUGACCCUACGUCACCCGCGCGGCGAGAGCGACCGAAGUUUGGGGCCUGCUGUUUUAUGACAAGGCCUAAACAGAAAACAGAUCCCGGGCGCUGACAAACGAUUGGCGGAAUUCCCAACUUGAGAAUAUGACGAGCCACCAUCGACACUUUUUCGUGAAACGCUGUUGCGACAAGACGUAUAGCGAGUCUCCAUACACUUUGAGUGUGAAUUUCAAGCGUUGACGAUCGUCAUAUUACGAGUGAAUAUUAGUAUUCCUUACUGGUGUUUAUAGUGUGUUGACGAGUUUUUCUGCCACCUCAGACGCAGCACAAACAUCAAAAGUGUGCAAAGAUAAGAAAGAAACGGAGGUGUCCAUACCGUCUUGGCUAAGGAGAGCUGCGGAACGCAACAAGAUCAUUGUAAAAGAUUUUUAGUAGAAAUAAUAAAAUAAAUAAUAGAUAUGUAAUAAAAA